RNAcentral lists this ribosomal RNA (305 nucleotides) under uncultured bacterium. Its description in RNAcentral is "bacterial SSU rRNA". It matches the Rfam family "Bacterial small subunit ribosomal RNA", at positions 333 to 630 of the family's 1533-position model. The record is from RNAcentral.
UGUGCCCUACGGGGGGCAGCAGUGGGGAAUUUUGGACAAUGGGCGCAAGCCUGAUCCAGCUAUUCCGCGUGUGGGAUGACGGCCCUCGGGUUGUAAACCACUUUAGUAGAGAACGAAAAGGAGCUAUCGAAUAAAUAGCUCUGCUGACGGUACUCUAAGAAUAAGCACCGGCUAACUACGUGCCAGCAGCCGCGGUAAUACAUAGGGAGCAAGCGUUAUCCGGAAUUAUUGGGUGUAAAGGGUGCGUAGACGGGAAAUUAAGUUAGUUGUGAAAUCCCUUGGCUUAACUGAGGAACUGCAACUAA